UUAAGUAAGGAAGGGCGUACGGCGAAUGCCUGGCCACUCGAAACUGAAGAAGGACGCGCCAAACUGCGAAAAGCUCCGUGAAGCUGUAAGGAAGCGAAGAAGCGGAGGUGUCCGAAUGGGGGAACCCGGCAGCAGACAUGAGCUGUCAUCUGCAGGUGAAUACAUGGCCUGCAAGAGAGGUACCCGGCGAACUGAAACAUCUAAGUAGCCGGAGGAAAAGAAAACAACAGUGAUUCCCUGAGUAGCGGCGAGCGAAAGGGGAGAAGCCCAAACCGGUCCAAGGACCGGGGUUGAAGGACCAUGAUAUGGCAAGAGAGAGGAUAGAAGAACGGGAUCGAAAGCCCGGCCGAAGAAGGUGCAAGCCCUGUAUUUGAAAUCUGAUUGAAGCCUAAUGGGAUCCUGAGUACGGCGAGACACGAGGAAUCUUGUCGGAAGCAGGCGGGACCAUCCGCCAAGGCUAAAUAUAAACGAGUGAGCGAUAGUGAACCAGUACCGUGAGGGAAAGGUGAAAAGAACCGCGGGAGCGGAGUGAAAGAGAACCUGAAACCGUAUGCCUACAAGAAGUCAGAGCCCGUUAAGGGGUGAUGGCGUGCCUUUUGUAGAAUGAACCGGCGAGUUGCGACAGACUGCGAGGUUAAGGAGGAAAGACCGGAGCCGAAGCGAAAGCGAGUCUUAAGAGGGCGAAAGUAGGAUGUUGCAGACCCGAAACCGGGUGAUCUAGCCAUGAGCAGGUUGAAGUUGAGGUGAAACUCAAUGGAGGACCGAACCGACUACCGUUGAAAAGUUAGCGGAUGACUUGUGGCUAGGGGAGAAAUUCCAAUCGAACCCGGAGAUAGCUGGUUCUCCCCGAAAUAGCUUUAGGGCUAGCGUCGGAAAGAACCUUAGUGAAGGUAGAGCACUGAAUGUGUGAUGGCCCCAUCCCGGGGUACUGAAUACAAUCAAACUGCGAAUGUCAUUAAGGAUGUCCGGCAGUCAGACUGUGAGUGAUAAGGUCCAUGGUCAAGAGGGAAACAGCCCAGACCGCCAGUUAAGGUCCCAAAAUACAGGCUAAGUGGAAAAGGAUGUGGGGAUGCCCAGACAACUAGGAGGUUGGCUCAGAAGCAGCCAUCCUUUAAAGAGUGCGUAACAGCUCACUAGUCGAGUGACCCUGCGCCGAAAAUGUACCGGGGCUAAGCCUGAUACCGAAACUGCGGAUUGUAGGAAACUAUAGUGGUAGGGGAGCGUUGUAUACGAGUAGAAGCCGUACCGUGAGGAGCGGUGGAUUGUAUAGAAGUGAGAAUGCCGGUGUGAGUAGCGAGAUGUAGGUGAGAAUCCUACACACCGAAAGCCCAAGGAUUCCAGGGGAAGGUUCGUCCGCCCUGGGUAAGUCGGGACCUAACGCGAGGCCGAAAGGCGUAGUGGAUGGAAAGCAGGCGAAAGAUUCCUGCACCCGUAUAUGGAGCGAAGGAGUGACGGAGACGGAUAGUGUGACCCUCUUAAUGGAUUGAGGGCGAAGCGAAGCGGCUGGUUACCAGGCAAAUCCGGUAACCUUAAGGCUAGAGCGUGACAGGUAAGCGAAAUCUAAGGAAAGUAGCGAAGCACAUGAUGACGGCUUCCAGGAAAAGCUUCUGGCAAUGCAUAUGCGGCCCGUACCAAAACCGACACAGGUGGGCAGGGAGAGAAUCCCGAGGUGAGCGAGAGAACUGUUGCCAAGGAACUCGGCAAAAUGACUCCGUAAGUUAGCGAGAAGGAGUGCUUAAGCAAUUAAGCCGCAGUGAAGAGGCCCAAGCGACUGUUUAACUAAAACACAGCUCUCUGCGAAGUCGCAAGACGAAGUAUAGGGGGUGACACCUGCCCGGUGCUGGAAGGUUAAGAGGAUCUGUUAAGAGCGAUCUGAAGCAGUGAUCCGAAGCNNNNNNNNNNAUAGGGGGUGACACCUGCCCGGUGCUGGAAGGUUAAGAGGAUCUGUUAAGAGCGAUCUGUUAAGAGCGAUCUGAAGCAGUGAUCCGAAGCCCCAGUGAACGGCGGCCGUAACUAUAACGGUCCUAAGGUAGCGAAAUUCCUUGUCAGGUAAGUUCUGACCCGCACGAAAGGUGUAACGAUUUGGGCGCUGUCUCGGCAGCAGACUCGGUGAAAUCUUAGUACCUGUGAAAAUGCAGGUUACCCGCAACUAGACGGAAAGACCCCAUGGAGCUUUACUGCAGCCUGAUAUUGAAUUCUGGUCAUACAUGUACAGGAUAGGUGGGAGACAAAGAGACGUGCACGCCAGUGUACGAGGAGUCGUCGUUGGGAUACCACUCUUGUGUGACCGGGGUUCUAACCUGGUAUCGAGAACAGGUACGGGGAGAGUGUCAGGUGGGCAGUUUGACUGGGGCGGUCGCCUCCCAAAGAGUAACGGAGGCGCCCAAAGGUACGCUCAGAUUGGAUGGAAACCAAUCGACGAGUGCAAUUGCAGAAGCGUGCUUGACUGUGAGACUUACAAGUCGAACAGGGACGAAAGUCGGGAAUAGUGAUCCGGCGGUGCCGAAUGGAAGGGCCGUCGCUCAACGGAUAAAAGCUACCCUGGGGAUAACAGGCUGAUCUCGCCCAAGAGUUCACAUCGACGGCGAGGUUUGGCACCUCGAUGUCGGCUCAUCGCAUCCUGGAGCUGGAUUCGGUUCCAAGGGUUGGGCUGUCCGCCCAUUAAAGCGGUACGCGAGCUGGGUUCAGAACGUCGUGAGACAGUUCGGUCCCUAUCUGUUGUGGGCGAAGGAGAUCUGCGGAGAGCUGUCCUCAGUACGAGAGGACCGGGAUGGACCUACCGCUGGUGCACCGGUUGUUCCGCCAGGGGCAUAGCCGGGUAGCUAAGUAGGGAAAGGAUAAGCGCUGAAAGCAUCUAAGCACGAAGCCUACUCCAAGAUGAGAUCUCCCAUUCGCAAGAAGUAAGACCCCUUAAAGACGAUAAGGUAGAUAGGCCAGGGAUGGAAGUGCAGUGAUGUACGGAGUUGACUGGUACUAAUCGGUCGAGGACUUAAUCAG
RNAcentral lists this ribosomal RNA (2997 nucleotides) under Holdemanella biformis. RNAcentral describes it as "bacterial LSU rRNA". It matches the Rfam family "Bacterial large subunit ribosomal RNA". Lineage: Bacteria; Bacillati; Bacillota; Erysipelotrichia; Erysipelotrichales; Erysipelotrichaceae. The record is from RNAcentral.